This is an RNA transcript of Labeo rohita (rohu), 2871 nucleotides long. RefSeq lists it as uncharacterized. Lineage: Eukaryota; Metazoa; Chordata; Actinopteri; Cypriniformes; Cyprinidae. The transcript has 2 exons. The record is from RefSeq and is a predicted model, not a curated record.
GCACGUCUCUCCCGGAGCGUGCACAGUCAGUUCUGAGAUGCGUGGCAACGCUCAGGUGCGGCUCAGCGGUCCCCCUAAAACAGGUUCAGAGGCUCCUAGGGCACAUGGCAUCCUCAGCCGCGGUCACGCCGUUGGGUUUGAUGCACAUGAGACCGCUGCAGCAUUGGCUCCGUACCCGAGUCCCCAGGAGGGCGUGGCACCACGGCACGUUCCGUGUGAACAUCACACCAUCGUGCCGCCAGACACUCAGCCCUUGGACGGACAUCGUGUUCCUUCGGUCAGGAGUGCCCUUGGAACAGGUGUCCAGACGCGUCGUUGUCACCACGGACGCUUCCAGGACAGGCUGGGGUGCCACCUGCAACGGGCAGGCAGCUUCCGGGGUCUGGGCAGGCCCCCGGCUGCAUUGGCACAUCAAUUGUCUGGAGUUGUUGGCAGUGCUUCUAGCUCUGAGGAGGUUCUGGCCUAUGAUUCAGAACAAGCACGUGUUGGUCAGGUCGGACAACAUGGCGACAGUAGCCUACAUCAACCACCAGGGCGGUGUACGUUCCUUUCGCAUGUCACAACUAGCCCGCCACCUCCUGCUCUGGAGCCAACACAGACUCAGGUCCUUACGGGCCACUCACAUUCCGGGCGAUGCCAAUCGAGUGGCCGAUUCUCUGUCACGACAGGUUUCGCUCGGAGGCGAGUGGAGGCUCCACCCUCAGUCGGUUCAACUGAUUUGGGAUCGAUUCGGCCAGGCGCAAGUGGAUCUCUUCGCCUCACCGGAAUCCACCCACUGCCAGUUGUGGUACGGGCUGACCGAGGCUCCCCUCGGUAUAGAUGCACUGGCACACAGUUGGCCGAAGGACCGGCUCAAGUAUGCGUUUCCCCCCGGUGAGUCUGAUCGCACAAACUUUGUGCAAAGUCAGGGAGGACAAGGAGCAGGUCCUCUUGGUAGCCCCCUUCUGGCCCAACAGAACCUGGUUCUCGGACCUGGUUCUCCUGGCGUCAGCUCCUCCCUGGCGCAUUCCCCUGAGGAAGGACCUCCUUUCCCAGGGGAAGGGCACAAUUUGGCACCCGCGCCCCGAUCUCUGGAACCUCCACCUGUGGCCCCUGGACGCGACCAGGAGGACUUCAGAGAUCUCCCACCAUCAGUGGUGAACACACUCAUUCAGGCAAGAGCUCCCUCUACCAGGCGGCUGUAUGACUCUAAAUGGCGCGUGUUUGUGAACUGGUGUUCUGCUCGGCUAAGGGACCCACGGAGUUGCGGCAUCGAAUCAGUGUUAUCCUUCCUCCAGGAGGGCCUGGACAGGCACCUAUCUGCCUCGACACUUAAGGUUCAUGUGGCCGCUAUAUCGGCUAAUCAUGACCUGGUGGGUGGCAGGUCGGUGGGAAAACACGAUUUGGUAAUCAGGUUUCUGAGAGGAGCCCGGAGACUGAACCCUCCUCGGCCACAUCUUAUCCCCUCUUGGGACCUUGCUGUGGUUCUCCGGGGCCUACAGCAGGGUCCCUUCGAGCCUCUUCAGUCAGUCAAACUCGAUGCUCUCUCCCUAAAGACGGCUCUCCUGACUGCGCUCGCCUCGGUAAAGAGAGUGGGAGACCUCCAAGCCCUCUCCAUCAACAGUUCGUGCCUGGAAUUCGGACCAGCGGAUUCUCACGUCGUCCUGAGACCCCGGCCUGGAUACGUGCCCAAAGUCCCCACCACUCCCUUCAGAGACCAGGUGGUGACUUUGCAAGCUAUCUCUUCCCAGGAAGAUGACCCCAACCUGACCUUGUUAUGCCCAGUCCGUGCCCUGCGCAUCUACUUGGAACGCACUCAGCCCUUCAGACGUUCUGAACAGCUCUUCGUCUGUUAUGGGGGACAGCAGAAGGGGAAGGCUGUCUCCAAACAGAGGAUCUCCCACUGGCUGGUGGACGCAAUUCGGGUGGCCUACCAGGCCAGAGGCCUACCCUGCCCUCUGGAGGUAAGAGCCCACUCGACUAGGGGCGUCGCUGCCUCGGCAGCCCUGGCAAAUGGGGCCUCAUUAACAGACAUCUGUAGAGCUGCAGGUUGGGCUACACCUAACACAUUUGCCAGAUUUUACAAUUUACGCAUGGAGCCAGUGUCAGCUAGAGUCUUGAAUACCAGCUCUUGACUCAGUUCUCUGGUUGGUGUAGAGCUUGCUUUAAAGCGCUUCCCCUAACGGUGAUUACGCUUCUGAGUUUCAGUAGGUUUCCUAGCGUGAACCCUGGACACCAUCUCCAUCAUUGGCACCUCUGGACGUGGCAGAGUUUUGCGGAGGGACUCGCUACGAAUUCGGUCACAAGGUUGUGAACUCCGUAGCGCCGUUUUUCCUUCGGGGGAGGCGCUUUCCCAACGCUCGCAAGACACUCGGCCGCUCUACUGAGGAAGGCCCGGCUGCAGAACCCUGGUACAGGUCAGUCUUGGACGUUGGAUGGUCACGGAGGAGGUGAGCUGCACUUCGUUAACACGUUGCCUGUUACUUCUGCGCUUAUCACUCGUGACGCGGCCAGUAAGGUGGCGGUUUUCUACGGGGACCCCUAGUGUCGUACACUACUCGACACAACUCGGAGUGUACGACAGAUAGGGAACGUCUCGGUUACGUAUGGUAACCCUCGUUCCCUGAUGGAGGGAACGGAGACGUUGUGUCUUCCGUGCCACCUUCCUGGACCGCCUCUGAGUGAGUUGAGACCCUCGGCUCCUCAGAUCAGAACGAGUGAGCAGAUGCACACGCUGCCCUAUUUAUACCCGGACGUCCGGGGCGUGGUCAGCUAUGCAAAUCUGCACACCCAAUUUUCAUUGGCCUUUCUCAAAACUGUCAGAGGUGUUUGGGCUCUCAAGAGCGACCCCUAGUGUCGUACACUACUCGACACAACGUCUCCGUUCCCUCC